Herpailurus yagouaroundi (jaguarundi) is the source of this 488-nucleotide long non-coding RNA. RefSeq lists it as uncharacterized. The record is from RefSeq and is a predicted model, not a curated record. The transcript has 3 exons. NCBI's taxonomy places the organism in Eukaryota, Metazoa, Chordata, Mammalia, Carnivora, Felidae.
AACCUCGCAAAACAGCUCUGCGCAAAAGCCGUCGGGGAAGGCGGUUGGAGCUGUGCCUCAGGACUCGCCAGGCUCUGCCCUCUCAGGGUGGCCCUACCUCUUCUCAAGAUUUUUCCUCAACAGCCACCAAGUCCAUAACUGUAACCAGUCGUUCAUUCCGUGGUCUGUGCCGAAGUCCUUGCUGGAUACCAGAUUUGCAGCCACUGCCCUGAUGUGGGACCCUAUGGCUUGACACACGGACCGUUUGAGGGACCACCAGACUGGGUUCCUCCUUACGACCUUUCCCUCUCCUGGUUUCUGUACAUCUCUGCAACGUGAAUGUGGCCGGAUCUCCUGUAUGAUUCAGUUGUGAUAUUUGCACCACCGAUGUUGCUGGUGUGGCCGUGGAAUUUACACCUUGCCAGAGGAAAGCUCUUUUGGCUCCAUAAGAAGGAGAAUCCAACCAACGAUUUGGAGAAUUUUGUGUCUCAUCCACCUGGAAGCUGGAG